AAGUCGUAACAAGGUUUCCGUAGGUGAACCUGCGGAAGGAUCAUUACAGAGUUCAUGCCCUCACGGGUAGAUCUCCCACCCUUGUCUAUCUCAUUAUCUGUUGCUUUGGCGGGCCGCGAGCCUCGCUCGCCCGGGUGCUGCCCGGCGUGCCCGCCAGAGGAAACCCCAACUCUGAAUGUUAGUGUCGUCUGAGUACUAUAUAAUAGUUAAAACUUUCAACAACGGAUCUCUUGGUUCUG
RNAcentral lists this unclassified non-coding RNA (239 nucleotides) under air metagenome. RNAcentral describes it as "partial contains small subunit ribosomal RNA, internal transcribed spacer 1, and 5.8S ribosomal RNA". The stretch from base 1 to 46 matches the Rfam family "Eukaryotic small subunit ribosomal RNA", at positions 1786 to 1831 of the family's 1831-position model. The record is from RNAcentral.